Molecule: ribosomal RNA, 821 nt
Filed under: uncultured bacterium
Lineage: Bacteria
Description: bacterial SSU rRNA
Rfam family: Bacterial small subunit ribosomal RNA
Source: RNAcentral
ANNNCNNNCUUUGGCGGCGUGGUUAAGACAUGCAAGUCGAACGGGGUUUAGUUUGUAGUAAUACACGCUAAAUUCAGUGGCGAACGGGUGCGUAACACGUGAGUAAUCUGCCGAGAAGUGGGGGAUAGCUCGCCGAAAGGCGAAUUAAUACCGCAUAUGACAAGGGAAGACAUCUUUCCAAAGUCAAAGUCGCAAGACGCUUCUUGAUGAACUCGCGGCCUAUCAGCUUGUUGGUGAGGUAACGGCUCACCAAGGCUAUGACGGGUAGCUGGUCUGAGAGGACGACCAGCCACACUGGAACUGAGACACGGUCCAGACACCUACGGGUGGCAGCAGUCGAGAAUUUUUCACAAUGGGGGAAACCCUGAUGGAGCGACGCCGCGUGGAGGACGAAGGCCUUCGGGUCGUAAACUCCUGUCAUGCGAGAACAAGAAAGUGAUAGUAUCGCAAGAGGAAGAGACGGCUAACUCUGUGCCAGCAGCCGCGGUAAUACAGAGGUCUCAAGCGUUGUUCGGAUUCAUUGGGCGUAAAGGGUGCGUAGGUGGCGUGGAAAGUUGAGUGUGAAAUCCUAGGGCUUAACCUUAGAACUGCACUCAAUACUCCCAUGCUAGAGGAAUGUAGAGGAGAGUGGAAUUCACGGUGUAGCAGUGAAAUGCGUAGAUAUCGUGAGGAAGACCAGUUGCGAAGGCGACUCUCUGGGCAUUUCCUGACACUGAGGCACGAANGCCAGGGGAGCAAACGGGAUUAGAUACCCCGGUAGUCCUGGCAGUAAACGGUGCACGUUUGGUGUGGGCGGGCUCAGACCCCGUCCGUGCCGGAGC